This 328-nucleotide ribosomal RNA is filed under the name Cylindrotheca closterium. Its description in RNAcentral is "SSU rRNA". It matches the Rfam family "Eukaryotic small subunit ribosomal RNA", at positions 625 to 957 of the family's 1831-position model. Lineage: Eukaryota; Bacillariophyta; Bacillariophyceae; Bacillariales; Bacillariaceae. The record is from RNAcentral.
AGCUCGUAGUUGGAUUUGUGGUGUACUUCGGCGGCCCGUCACUAUGUGAUGGAGCUUGCUGAAGUCGCCAUCCUUGGGUGGAUCCUGUGUGGCAUUAAGUUGUCGUGCAGGGGAUGCCCAUCGUUUACUGUGAAAAAAUUAGAGUGUUCAAAGCAGGCUUAUGCCGUUGAAUAUAUUAGCAUGGAAUAAUAAGAUAGGACCUUGGUACUAUUUUGUUGGUUUGCGCACCAAGGUAAUGAUUAAUAGGGACAGUUGGGGGUAUUCGUAUUUCAUUGUCAGAGGUGAAAUUCUUGGAUUUUUGAAAGACGAACUACUGCGAAAGCAUUUA